AAUUAUUGGGCGUAAAGCGGAUGUAGGUGGCUUUGUAAGUCAGAUGUGAAAGCCCAGGGCUCAACCCUGGAAGUGCAUUUGAUACUGCGAAGCUUGAGUGUCGGAGAGGUUACUAGAAUUGUUGGUGUAGUGGUGAAAUACGUAGAUAUCAACAGGAAUACCGGAGGCGAAGGCGGGUAACUGGCCGAACACUGACACUGAGAUCCGAAAGCGUGGGGAUCAAACAGGAUUAGAUACCCUGGUAGUCCACGCCGUAAACGAUGGAUACUUGUUGUUGGAGGUAUUGACCCCUUCAGUGACGAAGCUAACGCGUUAAGUAUCCCGCCUGGGGAGUACGGUCGCAAGAUUAAAACUCAAAGAAAUUGACGGGGGCCCGCACAAGCGGUGGAGCAUGUGGUUUAAUUCGAUGCAACGCGAAGAACC
This 423-nucleotide ribosomal RNA is filed under the name Bdellovibrio bacteriovorus. RNAcentral's name for it is "bacterial SSU rRNA". It matches the Rfam family "Bacterial small subunit ribosomal RNA", at positions 549 to 970 of the family's 1533-position model. The record is from RNAcentral. Lineage: Bacteria; Pseudomonadati; Bdellovibrionota; Bdellovibrionia; Bdellovibrionales; Pseudobdellovibrionaceae.